RNAcentral lists this ribosomal RNA (470 nucleotides) under uncultured bacterium. RNAcentral describes it as "partial 16S ribosomal RNA". It matches the Rfam family "Bacterial small subunit ribosomal RNA", at positions 28 to 507 of the family's 1533-position model. The record is from RNAcentral.
GACGAACGCUGGCGGCGUGCUUAACACAUGCAAGUCGAACGGUGAACGAGGGAGCUUGCUCCCUCCGGAUCAGUGGCGAACGGGUGAGUAACACGUGAGCAAUCUGCCCCGAACUCUGGGAUAAGCGUUGGAAACGACGUCUAAUACCGGAUACGACGCGGGAGGGCAUCCUCUCCGCGUGGAAAGAACUUCGGUUCGGGAUGAGCUCGCGGCCUAUCAGCUUGUUGGUGAGGUAACGGCUCACCAAGGCGACAACGGGUAGCCGGCCUGAGAGGGUGACCGGCCACACUGGGACUGAGACACGGCCCAGACUCCUACGGGAGGCAGCAGUGGGGAAUAUUGCACAAUGGGCGCAAGCCUGAUGCAGCAACGCCGCGUGAGGGACGACGGCCUUCGGGUUGUAAACCUCUUUUAGCAGGGAAAAAGCGAAAGUGACGGUACCUGCAGAAAAAGCACCGGCUAACUACGUG